AGAAACUAUUUUCAGGGCGGUAGUUAUUUUUAUACCGUCCUUGUUGGUUAAGUGAUUAAUGAAGGUAGUAUCUUUAAAAAAUUAGCGUUAGCGGAGUGUGAAAAAGGUGUAAACCGAGAGGGAUGGAAUUUUUAGUUGGGGUAGCAUAUUUUUGAUAGUACCUUUUGCAUAAGGGCUUGAUUAGUGAGAACAUGUAAAAUUUGUUGCCCCGAAGUCGGAAGAACUACUAUUUAACCAGCCUUUGGGCUUUAGAGGUCAUAGUGGUAUUUAUGUCUUGAGAUUAUUUGGUAGAGGCGAAAUGUUUUUGCGCAUUCGACGGUAUCUGGUUGACCUAGAAAUAAAUUAAGUUUAGGGUUGCAGUAGUAGCAAUACUUAGUAUUUUUUGGAGAGCAGUGAAUAGUGUGAACGAUGUAAAGGAUAAUUCUAGUUUUGCUGUUUAUAUGUGGGCUCCCGGCGGCCAUCAUAAGAGCGGAAUCCCGCGCAGUCUCGGUUUUAAUUGGAUGUGAAUUAGUUUUAUCAGGAUCUUAAGUUGUAUGGGUCGAAAUAGCUGAAUGGAAAGGCUAUUGUCAUACGGUUGAGAUUAGUAAGUGGUAAGUAUGUUGUUAAUUUUUUUCUGUUUUGACGAAAGUAGCAUCAAGGAAAAGCUAAGCUAAGGAACUAGGCAAAAAAUAUUUAUCUUCCGUCUGUUUACUAAAAACACAGCUUCCAGAAAGGGAAUGGAGGUGUUGUCUGCCCGGUGGGUAGUCUUAACGGCGGCCUUAGCGUGAGGGUCUUAAGGUAGCAUGUAGUCUUCUGAAUAAAUGUCAGGUGGUAUGAAUGGGAGUACGAGGGGAGGUCUGUCUCGGCUUAGUUUCGGUGAAUUUGCCAUGGAGAUGAAAAGGUCUUCAUAGAGUAAAUAGACGAGAAGACCCCAUGAAUUUUCAGUCUGUAUUAUAGGGUUUUAUGCUUAUAAGGAAUGAAAGAGACUUUGGUUGGGGCAACCCAGGAGAACACAAACCUCCUGAGAUAUAUAUAAACUUACAGGUGUAGAACCGUUGUGAGUGGGUAUCGGAAAAAAUUACUCUGGGGAUAACAGCGUUAUCUUCCUGGAGAGGGCAUAUCGGUAGGAAGGAUUACGACCUCGAUGUUGAAUGUGGCUAUCCUUGAACUAGUAGGGGGUGCAAAGGGUUGGACUGUUCGUCCAUAAAAAAGCCAACCUGAUUUGAGUUAAGAACGGCGCGAGCUAGUUCGGAUUCUAUCUUUUAUUGAAAGUGAUAUCGUGUCGCUUUUUGUACGCAAGGACUAAAUCGGCUAACAUAAGUUUUUAGAUAUGAAAGCUGUAAGGGGAAAGAGUAUUAAAAUGA
This 1343-nucleotide ribosomal RNA is filed under the name Tegillarca granosa. Its description in RNAcentral is "16S ribosomal RNA". It matches the Rfam family "Bacterial large subunit ribosomal RNA", at positions 566 to 2807 of the family's 2925-position model. Lineage: Eukaryota; Metazoa; Mollusca; Bivalvia; Arcoida; Arcidae. The record is from RNAcentral.